GCCCCAGUAGCUCAGCGGAUAGAGCAGCCGCCUUCUAAGCGGCCGGCCGCGGGUUCGAGUCCUGCCUGGGGUACCA
RNAcentral lists this transfer RNA (76 nucleotides) under soil metagenome. It matches the Rfam family "tRNA". Rfam says of the family: Transfer RNA (tRNA) molecules are approximately 80 nucleotides in length. Their secondary structure includes four short double-helical elements and three loops (D, anti-codon, and T loops). Further hydrogen bonds mediate the characteristic L-shaped molecular structure. tRNAs have two regions of fundamental functional importance: the anti-codon, which is responsible for specific mRNA codon recognition, and the 3' end, to which the tRNAs corresponding amino acid is attached (by aminoacyl-tRNA synthetases). tRNAs cope with the degeneracy of the genetic code in two manners: having more than one tRNA (with a specific anti-codon) for a particular amino acid; and 'wobble' base-pairing, i.e. permitting non-standard base-pairing at the 3rd anti-codon position. The record is from RNAcentral. RNAcentral also lists the same sequence under 1 other name.